AUAUCCUUGUAUUGCAAGAAGGCUGAGGGGGGAGCUGAUUGGUCUUGUGAAGACUGCUCCAUGUGAUCCCGAGCUCUGUGUGAUUGGGGCUCCCAGUCACGUGGGAGAAGCCCCCACAAAUAUAACCAGAUCCUCGCUUCAGAUCCACUUGCAGCACAGAGAGGUCAGGAUUAGACUCAGACAAACUGGUAUAACAUUGGGGGUGGGGCCAGCAGUCCAGCUCCAUUACCCGUUGCUGUCAUGGAGCCCUUCACCUGGAAUAAUCUGUGGAGAGGGCUUAUUAUUAGAUCCAUAAUUUACAAGAUCCAUUUGGGGCACCAAAUUUUGGGCACGCACAAUGCGCAAUAUUACAAAAAAUGACCCCAAUCCGCCCCUGAUAGUGGUAACAUUAAAAGGCCUCAGGCCAAGCAGAAAGUGCCUAUGGGGUGACUCCCCCCAAAUGCCAUGCAAAGCAUUUGACAGGGAAAGCACCGCUGGAGCACAGGGGGAAGAGCAAAGAGAUUCUGGGGCUGCACCCCUGACCAUUGAGGAAGAGAGGCGGGGACAGCGCAGGUCACGCUGCAGCAGGAAACAGCACACCCAGUCCUGUAGACCUGUGCACAAUCACAGUAACCUGUUUGUAGGGUUUUGUGAAUACUAAAGGAUUAAGCCCUUUUCGGCGUACUGUUUGACAGAAACAACACAUAUGUUUGGGAAUGCUGUAUCUAAAAUCUGGGGUAGCAUAGUGGCUAUGUGUAAUGUGUCUAGUGAGCUGGGAAAUGGUUGGAUGAGAACGUCCCCAAAUCAUUAAUUUAAUGGGGCCUUAGGCAAGCUACUCCUCUUCACUUCCAGCCCUUCUUCUACGGCAACAUGGAGAUAAUGAUGCUUACCUGGGAUAUGUUCAACCUGCUCCAUGCACAAUAUUUCUGUAAUUUUUACAACACCCCUGGAAGGUAAGCUACCAGCACUGAAAAGUGCUACACAAAUCUUUGCAAUGAGCCAACAGUGUGACGCGGCAGCUAAAAAAGCCAAUGCAAUUCUGGGCUGCAUCAAUAGGAGUAUAGCAUCUAGAUCAAGGGAAGUAAUAGUGCCACUGUAUUCUGCUCUGGUCAGACCUCACCUGGAGUACUGUGUCCAGUUCUGGGCACCACAGUUCAAGAAGGACAC
This is a non-coding RNA of Podarcis lilfordi (Lilford's wall lizard), 1146 nucleotides long. The record is from the annotation of a GenBank genome assembly. Lineage: Eukaryota; Metazoa; Chordata; Lepidosauria; Squamata; Lacertidae.